UGGGGAAUAUUGGACAAUGGGCGAAAGCCUGAUCCAGCCAUGCCGCGUGUGUGAAGAAGGCCCUCGGGUUGUAAAGCACUUUCAGCGAGGAAGAACGCCUAGGGGUUAAUACCCCCUAGGAAAGACAUCACUCGCAGAAGAAGCACCGGCUAACUCCGUGCCAGCAGCCGCGGUAAUACGGGGGGUGCAAGCGUUAAUCGGAAUUACUGGGCGUAAAGCGCGCGUAGGUGGCUUGAUAAGCCGGUUGUGAAAGCCCCGGGCUCAACCUGGGAACGGCAUCCGGAACUGUCAAGCUAGAGUGCAGGAGAGGAAGGUAGAAUUCCCGGUGUAGCGGUGAAAUGCGUAGAGAUCGGGAGGAAUACCAGUGGCGAAGGCGGCCUUCUGGACUGACACUGACACUGAGGUGCGAAAGCGUGGGUAGCAAACA
RNAcentral lists this ribosomal RNA (427 nucleotides) under uncultured Halomonas sp. RNAcentral describes it as "bacterial SSU rRNA". It matches the Rfam family "Bacterial small subunit ribosomal RNA", at positions 355 to 774 of the family's 1533-position model. Lineage: Bacteria; Pseudomonadati; Pseudomonadota; Gammaproteobacteria; Oceanospirillales; Halomonadaceae. The record is from RNAcentral.